ACCUCAUGCAACUUUUAAUAUAACUUUUACCUCUAAAAUACUUGUAGCCUUAUGGUUACACAAUAAACUACAGUAUUUUAGUUAAGUCAUACCUUUUAUUAUUAUAUGAUCAUAUCUGAAUAAUACUAUCAUUGUGGUUGCACAACAAGGUAGCAGUACCCAAAUAUGCUAUAAGCAUCACCAAGUCAACAUCACAUCAAAUCCUAUAGCAAGUCUUGUGGUUGC
Molecule: long non-coding RNA, 225 nt
Filed under: Elaeis guineensis (African oil palm)
Lineage: Eukaryota; Viridiplantae; Streptophyta; Magnoliopsida; Arecales; Arecaceae
Description: long non-coding RNA (EGUI_LNC021282)
Source: RNAcentral